GGAAAGAGAGAGGGAGCAGAAUGUCCACGACUUGUGGUGGUGUAGGAAGAGAUUUGCACGCUUCUCUGUUCUAGAGGCUUUCGAUUGUUUUUCCUUCGGAAUGUCCUUUUUCGGUUCCUCAGUUUGGUGGUUUUGAAUACUCUAGCAAUACUGGGAGAACAGGAUUUCUUGGUGAUGAAAAUCUUCAUUUUAAGGACUUUGUUUUUGAGGAGCCAUGUGAAGCUCAGACUCUCACAAGUCAAGAAGGUCUUCAGACUCCCAAUGUGAGUAGUCAACGCUUGUCUGUUGGGAUGACACCCAAAACCCUUAGGCUGCCGAAACCUACCGAGA
Molecule: non-coding RNA, 330 nt
Organism: Arachis ipaensis
Lineage: Eukaryota; Viridiplantae; Streptophyta; Magnoliopsida; Fabales; Fabaceae
Source: RefSeq, a predicted model, not a curated record